ACUCAAAGGAAUUGACGGGGGCCCGGCACAAGCGGUGGGAGUAUGUGGUUUAAUUCGACGCAACGCGAAGAACCUUACCAGGUCUUGACAUUGAUGGACAGAACUAGAGAUAGUUCCUCUUCUUCGGAAGCCAGAAAACAGGUGGUGCACGGUUGUCGUCAGCUCGUGUCGUGAGGUGUUGGGUUAAGUCCCGCAACGAGCGCAACCCCUAUCUUAUGUUGCCAGCACGUAAUGGUGGGGACUCAUGAGAGACUGCCGCAGACAAUGCGGAGGGAAGGCGGGGAUGACGUCAAAUCAUCAUGCCCCUUAUGACCUGGGGCUACACACGUACUACAAUGGGAGUUAAUAGACGGAAGCGAGAUCGCGAGAUGGAGCAAACCCGAGAAACACUCUCUCAGUUCGGAUCGUAGGCUGCAACUCGCCGUACGUGAAGUCGGAAUCGCUAGUAAUCGCAGGUCAGCAUCUGCGUGAAUCGUCCGGCUUGACACACGUCGCGCGCGGCAGGCACGACGAGGGAG
Molecule: ribosomal RNA, 518 nt
Filed under: uncultured Veillonella sp.
Lineage: Bacteria; Bacillati; Bacillota; Negativicutes; Veillonellales; Veillonellaceae
Description: bacterial SSU rRNA
Rfam family: Bacterial small subunit ribosomal RNA
Source: RNAcentral